RNAcentral lists this ribosomal RNA (530 nucleotides) under Kytorhinus thermopsis. Its description in RNAcentral is "partial 16S ribosomal RNA". It matches the Rfam family "Bacterial large subunit ribosomal RNA", at positions 1807 to 2608 of the family's 2925-position model. The record is from RNAcentral. Lineage: Eukaryota; Metazoa; Arthropoda; Insecta; Coleoptera; Chrysomelidae.
UCAAAAACAUGGCUUUUUGAUAUAUAAUUUAAAGUUUGGCCUGCUCUAUGAGGAAUUAAAUGGCCGCGGUAUUUUGACCGUGCUAAGGUAGCAUAAUCAUUAGUUUCUUAAUUAGAAGCUGGAAUGAAUGGUUGGAUGAGAAAAAUUCUGUCUCUAUUUAAAAUUAUUAGAAUUUUAUUUUUAAGUUAAAAAGCUUAAAUUAUUUUGAAAGACGAGAAGACCCUAUAGAGUUUAAUAUUUAAUUUAAUUAAUAUUUUAUAGAAUAUUAUUUUUUAAUUAAUGUAAAUAUUUAGUUGGGGUGAUUGAAAAAUUUAAUAAACUUUUUUGUUUUUGAACCAUAGAUUUAUGAUUAUUUGAUCCAUAUUUAUUGAUUAAAAGAUUAAAUUACCUUAGGGAUAACAGCGUAAUGUUUUUUAAGAGUUCUAAUCGAAAAAAAAGCUUGCGACCUCGAUGUUGGAUUAAAAUUAAUUUCUGGUGCAGAAGUUGGAAAUAUUAGGUCUGUUCGACCUUUAAAAUUUUACAUGAUCUGA